This 253-nucleotide ribosomal RNA is filed under the name uncultured bacterium. RNAcentral describes it as "partial 16S ribosomal RNA". It matches the Rfam family "Bacterial small subunit ribosomal RNA", at positions 524 to 776 of the family's 1533-position model. The record is from RNAcentral.
UACAGAGGUCCCAAGCGUUGUUCGGAUUCAUUGGGCGUAAAGGGUGCGUAGGCGGCGCGGUAAGUCGGGUGUGAAAUCUUGGAGCUUAACUCCGAAACUGCAUUCGAUACUGCCGUGCUUGAGGACUGGAGAGGAGACUGGAAUUUACGGUGUAGCGGUGAAAUGCGUAGAUAUCUGGAGGAACACCGGUGGCGAAGGCGGCAUCCUGGACCAACACUGACACUGAGGAGCGAAAGCCAGGGGAGCAAACGGG